UAACACAUGCAAGUCGAACGGGUCUGCCUUGUUUUUUGCGGGGUGGGUCAGUGGCGAACGGGUGAGUAACACGUGAGUAACCUGCCCCUCACUUCUGGAUAACCGCUUGAAAGGGUGGCUAAUACGGGGUGUUCUGGCUGUGCCGCAUGGUGUGGCUGGGAAAGAUUCACUUUUGUGGUGUUUUGGUGGGGGAUGGGCUCGCGGCCUAUCAGCUUGUUGGUGGGGUGAUGGCCUGCCAAGGCUUUGACGGGUAGCCGGCCUGAGAGGGUGGGCGGUCACACUGGGACUGAGAUACGGCCCAGACUCCUGCGGGAGGCAGCAGUGGGGGGUAUUGCACAAUGGGCGGAAGCCUGAUGCAGCGACGUCGCGUGAGGGAUGGAGGCCUUCGGGUUGUGAACCUCUUUCGCCGGUGAAGAAGGUCCUGUUCUUUGUGGUGGGGCUGACGGUAGCCGGGUUAUGAAGCGCCGGCUAACUACGUGCCAGCAGCCGCGGUAAUA
RNAcentral lists this ribosomal RNA (497 nucleotides) under Actinomyces israelii. RNAcentral's name for it is "bacterial SSU rRNA". It matches the Rfam family "Bacterial small subunit ribosomal RNA", at positions 49 to 525 of the family's 1533-position model. Lineage: Bacteria; Bacillati; Actinomycetota; Actinomycetes; Actinomycetales; Actinomycetaceae. The record is from RNAcentral.